GAGUUUGACCAUGGCUCAGAUUGAACGCUGGCGGCAUGCCUUACGCAUGCAAGUCGAACGGCAGCACGGGAGCUUGCUCCUGGUGGCGAGUGGCGAACGGGUGAGUAAUGCAUCGGAACGUAUCCUGGAGUGGGGGAUAACGUAGCGAAAGUUACGCUAAUACCGCAUAUUCUGUGAGCAGGAAAGCGGUGGACCUUCGGGCCUCGCGCUCUUGGAGCGGCCGAUGUCGGAUUAGCUAGUUGGUGAGGUAAAGGCUCACCAAGGCGACGAUCCGUAGCAGGUCUGAGAGGAUGAUCUGCCACACUGGAACUGAGACACGGUCCAGACUCCUACGGGAGGCAGCAGUGGGGAAUUUUGGACAAUGGGGGCAACCCUGAUCCAGCCAUGCCGCGUGAGUGAAGAAGGCC
This 407-nucleotide ribosomal RNA is filed under the name bacterium enrichment culture clone ALO1_GLFRUDD03HIMI4. RNAcentral describes it as "bacterial SSU rRNA". It matches the Rfam family "Bacterial small subunit ribosomal RNA", at positions 9 to 416 of the family's 1533-position model. The record is from RNAcentral.